UAACUCCGUGCCAGCAGCCGACGGUAAUACGGAGGGUGCGAGCGUUUAAUCGGAAUUACUGGGCGUAAAGCGCAUGCAGGUGGUUUGUUAAGUCAGAUGUGAAAGCCCGGGGCUCAACCUCGGAAUUGCAUUUGAAACUAGGCAAACUAGAGUACUGUAGAGGGGGUAGAAUUUCAGGUGUAGCGGUGAAAUGCGUAGAGAUCUGAAGGAAUACCGGUGGCGAAGGCGGCCCCCCUGGACAGAUACUGACACUCAGAUGCGAAAGCGUGGGGAGCAAACAGGAUUAGAUACCCUGGUAG
This 299-nucleotide ribosomal RNA is filed under the name uncultured bacterium. RNAcentral's name for it is "partial 16S ribosomal RNA". It matches the Rfam family "Bacterial small subunit ribosomal RNA", at positions 498 to 793 of the family's 1533-position model. The record is from RNAcentral.